GGCGCUGUUUGAAGGGAUUAGGAGAUGUGGCCUUGUUGGAGGACAUGUGUGUGCAGGGAGGGGGGUAGUGGGCUUUGAGGUUUCGAAAGCCCAUGCAAAGCCCAGUCUGUCUAUCUGCCUGUCUCUCUCAGUCUGCAGAUUGGAGUGUAGGUCUCAGCUACUGCUCCAGAGCCACGCCUGCCUAUGGCCAAGCUUCCCACCAUGGUGAUAAUGGACUAAGCCUCUGAAACUGCCUUCAGGAACCUGGAAAAGAAGGGGAAAAUGCCAGAAGUUUCCACAGAGCUGAAGCCAGGUCAAGCCCUGUGUAGACCCAUCACCUCCAGGAUCUCAUCCGGGACUCAGGAGAGCACUUUGUCCUGCUGUGACUUCCGUUUCACAGCUGUGGAAUCCGAAAUCCAGAAAGGACACUUGUCUGAGGUCACAUACUCGCUGGCAAAGGCAGGCUGAAUUGGAUUGGCUGGUUACCCUUGGAUCGCCUUCUGGUCUUGUCCUCGGGUGGGUGGGCUGUCUGUGGAUCUUCAGAAGAGGCACAGUGCAGCCAUACCUCCCCCCUCUCUCUCUCUCUCUCACACACACACACACACACCCACACCUCAUGUGUAUGUUUGCCUGUGUGAACAGCUGAUACUUUCUUUGCAGAUAGGUGUGUGUGCAGGGCCUGAUGCUGGACCUCAUGCAUUAAACCCAUCUGAACUGAGGAGCCCCCACUCCUGCCCCAAGAUGCUGUCACGGUCAGCUCCUGUUAUCUCCUGGCAAAAUUACCUGGGGCUCUUGAGGCUACUUCAGCUCUGGUUCCCAGCCCUAGUUAUGGGAAAGCAAUCACAUCGCCAGCCAGCGCUUCCCAGUGUCUUUGAAGAAACCUGAGUUACAGCUCCCAAGUCCCGAGCCACUUAGCUUGUCAACGGCAGAGCGGCCAGAGCAAGCACCCUUCUUCCCCAGAGCUGGCUGAAGAGGAGUCUUGUGACUCAGGACAGAGCACGACUCUUGAAUAAAUCACACUCCUGCAGCUAAACUGUCCAAUUCCUCAACUAAACUGCCAAGCG
Long non-coding RNA from Alexandromys fortis (reed vole), 1043 nucleotides. RefSeq lists it as uncharacterized. The record is from RefSeq and is a predicted model, not a curated record. The transcript has 3 exons. NCBI's taxonomy places the organism in Eukaryota, Metazoa, Chordata, Mammalia, Rodentia, Cricetidae.